AGAGUUUGAUCCUGGCUCAGGACGAACGCUGGCGGCGCGCCUAACACAUGCAAGUCGAACGAGCAAAGAGGAGCUUGCUUCUCUGAGCGAGUGGCGAACGGGUGAGUAACGCGUGAGGAACCUGCCUCAAAGAGGGGGACAACAGUUGGAAACGACUGCUAAUACCGCAUAAGCCCACGGGUCGGCAUCGACCAGAGGGAAAAGGAGCAAUCCGCUUUGAGAUGGCCUCGCGUCCGAUUAGCUAGUUGGUGAGGUAAUGGCCCACCAAGGCGACGAUCGGUAGCCGGACUGAGAGGUUGAACGGCCACAUUGGGACUGAGACACGGCCCAGACUCCUACGGGAGGCAGCAGUGGGGAAUAUUGCACAAUGGGGGAAACCCUGAUGCAGCGACGCCGCGUGGAGGAAGAAGGUCUUCGGAUUGUAAACUCCUGUUGUUGAGGAAGAUAAUGACGGUACUCAACAAGGAAGUGACGGCUAACUACGUGCCAGCAGCCGCGGUAAAACGUAGUCACAAGCGUUGUCCGGAAUUACUGGGUGUAAAGGGAGCGCAGCGGGAAGACAAGUUGGAAGUGAAAUCCAUGGGCUCAACCCAUGAACUGCUUUCAAAACUGUUUUUUCUUGAGUAGUGCAGACGUAGGCCGAAUUCCCGGUGUAGCGGUGGAAUGCGUAGAUAUUCGGGAUGAACACUCGUGGCCGAGCGGCCUACCUGGGCACAACUUGACGCCUGAGGCUCGAAAGUGUGGGUAGGCAAACAGAUAGAAUACCCUGGUAGUCCACACCGUAAACGAUGAUUACUAGUGCUGGGAGGAUUGACCCUUCAUGGCCGCAGGUUAACACAAAUAAGUAAUCCACCUGGGGAGUACGACCGCAAGGUUGAAACUCAAAGGGAAUUGACGGGGGCCCGCACAAGCAGUGGAGUAUGUGGUUUAAUUCGACGCAACGCGAAGAACCUUACCAAGUCUUGACAUCCUGCGACGGACAUAGAAAUAUGUCUUUCCUUCGGGACGCAGAGACAGGUGGUGCAUGGUUGUCGUCAGCUCGUGUCGUGAGAUGUUGGGUUAAGUCCCGCAACGAGCGCAACCCUUAUGGUCAGUUACUACGCAAGAGGACUCUGGCCAGACUGCCGUUGACAAAACGGAGGAAGGUGGGGAUGACGUCAAAUCAUCAUGCCCUUUAUGACUUGGGCUACACACGUACUACAAUGGCGUUAAACAAAGAGAAGCAAGACCGCGAGGUGGAGCAAAACUCAGAAACAACGUCCCAGUUCGGACUGCAGGCUGCAACUCGCCUGCACGAAGUCGGAAUUGCUAGUAAUCGUGGAUCAGCAUGCCACGGUGAAUACGUUCCCGGGCCUUGCACACACCGCCCGUC
RNAcentral lists this ribosomal RNA (1372 nucleotides) under uncultured bacterium. Its description in RNAcentral is "bacterial SSU rRNA". It matches the Rfam family "Bacterial small subunit ribosomal RNA". The record is from RNAcentral.